GCCUGGGUGGCUCAGUCGUUUGAGCGUCCGACUUUGGCUCAGGUCAUGAUCUCGCGGUCCGUGGGUUCGAGCCCCGCGUCGGGCU
Molecule: transfer RNA, 85 nt
Filed under: Felis catus (domestic cat)
Lineage: Eukaryota; Metazoa; Chordata; Mammalia; Carnivora; Felidae
Rfam family: tRNA
About the family: Transfer RNA (tRNA) molecules are approximately 80 nucleotides in length. Their secondary structure includes four short double-helical elements and three loops (D, anti-codon, and T loops). Further hydrogen bonds mediate the characteristic L-shaped molecular structure. tRNAs have two regions of fundamental functional importance: the anti-codon, which is responsible for specific mRNA codon recognition, and the 3' end, to which the tRNAs corresponding amino acid is attached (by aminoacyl-tRNA synthetases). tRNAs cope with the degeneracy of the genetic code in two manners: having more than one tRNA (with a specific anti-codon) for a particular amino acid; and 'wobble' base-pairing, i.e. permitting non-standard base-pairing at the 3rd anti-codon position.
Source: Rfam by way of RNAcentral